AAAAAUGGUAAAACUAGUGGAAAAUUCAUUUCAUGGAGGUCUGUAACAAUUUACCUGAUUCUCAGCUAGACCCAUUUGAAUGACACCAUCAGGCCUGUCAAUAGCGUGAAAUGGAUUGACCUCAUAUGCCUUCCAUCCAUCAAAAUAAGGUGAG
Long non-coding RNA from Hibiscus syriacus, 154 nucleotides. RefSeq lists it as uncharacterized. NCBI's taxonomy places the organism in Eukaryota, Viridiplantae, Streptophyta, Magnoliopsida, Malvales, Malvaceae. The transcript has 3 exons. The record is from RefSeq and is a predicted model, not a curated record.